AUUAGAUACCCCUGUAGUCCCAGCCGUAAACAAUGUGCGUUAGGUGUGUCGGUAACCACGUGUUACUGAUGCGCCGAAGAGAAAUCGUGAAACGCACCACCUGGGAAGUACGGUCGCAAGGCUGAAACUUAAAGGAAUUGGCGGGGGAGCACCACAACAGGUGGAGCCUGCGGUUUAAUUGGAUUCAACGCCGGACAUCUCACCGGAUAAGACAGCUGAAUGAUUGUCAAUCUGAAGGUUUUACAUGACUAGCUGAGAGGAGGUGCAUGGCA
Molecule: ribosomal RNA, 272 nt
Filed under: uncultured archaeon
Lineage: Archaea
Description: partial 16S ribosomal RNA
Rfam family: Archaeal small subunit ribosomal RNA
Source: RNAcentral